UACGUAGGGGGCGAGCGUUGUCCGGAAUCAUUGGGCGUAAAGAGCGUGUAGGCGGCUUGGCAAGUCUGACGUGAAAGCCCGCGGCUCAACCGCGGAUUGUCGUUGGAAACUGCCUCGCUAGAGUCCGGAAGAGGAGAGCGGAAUUCCUGGUGUAGCGGUGGAAUGCGCAGAUAUCAGGAAGAACACCCGUGGCGAAGGCGGCUCUCUGGGACGGUACUGACGCUGAGGAGCGAAAGCGUGGGGAGCGAACAGG
Molecule: ribosomal RNA, 253 nt
Filed under: uncultured bacterium
Lineage: Bacteria
Description: partial 16S ribosomal RNA
Rfam family: Bacterial small subunit ribosomal RNA
Source: RNAcentral